This 269-nucleotide ribosomal RNA is filed under the name Rhizobium sp. CRIBSB. RNAcentral's name for it is "partial 16S ribosomal RNA". It matches the Rfam family "Bacterial small subunit ribosomal RNA", at positions 1 to 299 of the family's 1533-position model. Lineage: Bacteria; Pseudomonadati; Pseudomonadota; Alphaproteobacteria; Hyphomicrobiales; Rhizobiaceae. The record is from RNAcentral.
UCAACUUGAGAGUUUGAUCCUGGCUCAGAACGAACGCUGGCGGCAGGCUUAACACAUGCAAGUCGAACGCCCCGCAAGGGGAGUGGCAGACGGGUGAGUAACGCGUGGGAAUCUACCGAGCCCUGCGGAAUAGCUCCGGGAAACUGGAAUUAAUACCGCAUACGCCCUACGGGGGAAAGAUUUAUCGGGGUUUGAUGAGCCCGCGUUGGAUUAGCUAGUUGGUGGGGUAAAGGCCUACCAAGGCGACGAUCCAUAGCUGGUCUGAGAGG